GACGUAGGGCGCGAGCGUUGUCCGGAUUUAUUGGGCGUAAAGAGCUCGUAGGCGGUUCAUUGCGUCAAUCGUGAAAUCCUGUGGCUCAACUACAGGCUUGCGGUUGAUACGGGUGGGCUGGAGUUCGGUAGGGGAGACUGGAAUUCCUGGUGUAGCGGUGAAAAUGCGCAGAUAUCAGGAGGAACACCGGUGGCGAAGGCGGGUCUCUGGGCCGAUACUGACGCUGAGGAGCGAAAGCGUGGGGAGCGAACAGG
This 254-nucleotide ribosomal RNA is filed under the name uncultured bacterium. Its description in RNAcentral is "partial 16S ribosomal RNA". It matches the Rfam family "Bacterial small subunit ribosomal RNA", at positions 524 to 776 of the family's 1533-position model. The record is from RNAcentral.